UACGUAGGGUGCAAGCGUUAAUCGGAAUUACUGGGCGUAAAGCGUGCGCAGGCGGUGAUGUAAGACAGAUGUGAAAUCCCCGGGCUCAACCUGGGAACUGCAUUUGUGACUGCAUCGCUGGAGUGCGGCAGAGGGGGAUGGAAUUCCGCGUGUAGCAGUGAAAUGCGUAGAUAUGCGGAGGAACACCGAUGGCGAAGGCAAUCCCCUGGGCCUGCACUGACGCUCAUGCACGAAAGCGUGGGGAGCGAUCCGG
Molecule: ribosomal RNA, 253 nt
Filed under: uncultured bacterium
Lineage: Bacteria
Description: partial 16S ribosomal RNA
Rfam family: Bacterial small subunit ribosomal RNA
Source: RNAcentral